GUUAUAUUCUUCUGAUUCAGCUUGGAUUGGCUUUUCCCUGGGUGCAAAUCAAGGUUUUGUCUGGAGUGAUGGAUCACCUAGUGAUUUUGAGAACUGGGGCUUUGGGGAACCAAAUAACUACAAUGACAAUGAACACUGUACAGAAGUUAACUUUAACUACCGACGGCGCUGGAACGACCGGUACUGCGAUGCUUACAAUAACUGGAUCUGCCAGAUAAGCAAAGGUGUGACUCCCAAACCUGAACCUGCAAUAAC
Molecule: long non-coding RNA, 255 nt
Organism: Monopterus albus (swamp eel)
Lineage: Eukaryota; Metazoa; Chordata; Actinopteri; Synbranchiformes; Synbranchidae
Exons: 3
Source: RefSeq, a predicted model, not a curated record